UACGGGGGGAGCAAGCGUUGUUCGGAAUCACUGGGCGUAAAGGGCGUGUAGGCGGUUAGGUAAGUGGGAUGUGAAAUGCCUCGGCUCACCCGAGGACCGGCAUCCCAAACUGCCCGACUUGAGUAUGGGGGAGGAUGUGGGAACUCCUGGUGUAGCGGUGAAAUGCGUAGAUAUCAGGAGGAACACCGGUGGCGAAGGCGCACAUCUGGCCCAAUACUGACGCUGAGGCGCGAAAGCUAGGGGAGCAAACGGG
This 253-nucleotide ribosomal RNA is filed under the name uncultured bacterium. RNAcentral describes it as "partial 16S ribosomal RNA". It matches the Rfam family "Bacterial small subunit ribosomal RNA", at positions 524 to 776 of the family's 1533-position model. The record is from RNAcentral.